Molecule: ribosomal RNA, 272 nt
Filed under: uncultured bacterium
Lineage: Bacteria
Description: partial 16S ribosomal RNA
Rfam family: Bacterial small subunit ribosomal RNA
Source: RNAcentral
GUCCUAGCUGUAAACGAUGGGCACUGGGUAGAGGUGGUGUCGAUACCGUCUCUGCCGAAGCAAAUGUGUUAAGUGCCCCGCCUGGGGAGUACGGUCGCAAGGCUAAAACUCAAAGGAAUUGACGGGGGCUCACACAAGCGGUGGAGCAUGUGGUUCAAUUCGAAGCAACGCGAAGAACCUUACCCGGGUUUGAAAUCCACGGAUGGGUCCGACGAAAGUUGGAUACCCUGCCCGCAAGGGUGAAACGUGGACAGGUGUUGCAUGGCUGUCGU